This 472-nucleotide ribosomal RNA is filed under the name uncultured bacterium. RNAcentral describes it as "partial 16S ribosomal RNA". It matches the Rfam family "Bacterial small subunit ribosomal RNA", at positions 28 to 523 of the family's 1533-position model. The record is from RNAcentral.
GACGAACGCUGGCGGCGUGCUUAACACAUGCAAGUCGAACGGGAGUAUUGAAGAAGCUUGCUUUAGAGAUACUCUAGUGGCGGACGGGUGAGUAACGCGUGAGGAGCUGUCCUAUGCAUGGGGACAACAGUUGGAAACGACUGCUAAUACCCCAUAAGCCGAGAGGUAAAAGGAGCGAUCCGGCAGAGGAGGUGCUCGCGUCCUAUUCGCUAGUAGGUGAGGUAACGGCUCACCUAGGCGAAGACGGGUAGCCGGCCUGACAGGGCGAACGGCCACACUGGAACUGAGAUACGGCCCAGACUCCUACGGGAGGCAGCAGUGGGGAAUAUUGGGCAAUGGGGGCAACCCGGACCCAGCGACGCCGCGUGGGUGAAGAAAUCCCUCGGGAUGUAAAGCCCUGUUGUAUGGGAAGAGCAGAAGACGGUACCAUACGAGGAAGCCCCGGCAAACUACGUGCCAGCCGCCGCGGUAA